GAUGAACGCUGGCGGCGUGCCUAACACAUGCAAGUCGAGCGGCAGCGAGGGGUGCUUGCACCCUGUCGGCGAGCGGCGGACGGCUGAGUAACGCGUGGGAACGUGCCCCAAAGUGAGGAAUAACUGCCCGAAAGGGUAGCUAAUACCGCAUAUUAUCUUCGGAUCAAAGGAUUUAUCCGCUUUGGGAGCGGCUCGCGUCGGAUUAGGUAGUUGGUGAGGUAAUGGCUCACCAAGCCGACGAUCCGUAGCUGGUCUGAGAGGAUGACCAGCCAGACUGGAACUGAGACACGGUCCAGACUCCUACGGGAGGCAGCAGUGAGGAAUCUUCCACAAUGGGCGAAAGCCUGAUGGAGCAACGCCGCGUGCAGGACGAAGGCCUUCGGGUUGUAAACUGCUUUUAUAAGGGAGGAAUAUGACGGUAACUUAUGAAUAAGGAUCGGCUAACUACG
This 449-nucleotide ribosomal RNA is filed under the name uncultured bacterium. RNAcentral's name for it is "partial 16S ribosomal RNA". It matches the Rfam family "Bacterial small subunit ribosomal RNA", at positions 28 to 505 of the family's 1533-position model. The record is from RNAcentral.